CGUUAGCGGCGGACGGGUGAGUAACACGUGGGCAACCUGCCUGUAAGACUGGGAUAACUCCGGGAAACCGGAGCUAAUACCGGAUAACAUUUUCUCUUGCAUAAGAGAAAAUUGAAAGAUGGUUUCGGCUAUCACUUACAGAUGGGCCCGCGGUGCAUUAGCUAGUUGGUGAGGUAACGGCUCACCAAGGCAACGAUGCAUAGCCGACCUGAGAGGGUGAUCGGCCACACUGGGACUGAGACACGGCCCAGACUCCUACGGGAGGCAGCAGUAGGGAAUCUUCCGCAAUGGACGAAAGUCUGACGGAGCAACGCCGCGUGAGUGAUGAAGGCUUUCGGGUCGUAAAACUCUGUUGUUAGGGAAGAACAAGUACAAGAGUAACUGCUUGUACCUUGACGGUACCUAACCAGAAAGCCGCGGCUAACUACGUGCCAGCAGCCGCGGUAAUACGUAGGUGGCAAGCGUUAUCCGGAAUUAUUGGGCGUAAAGCGCGCGCAGGCGGUUUCUUAAGUCUGAUGUGAAAGCCCACGGCUCAACCGUGGAGGGUCAUUGGAAACUGGGGAACUUGAGUGCAGAAGAGAAAAGCGGAAUUCCACGUGUAGCGGUGAAAUGCGUAGAGAUGUGGAGGAACACCAGUGGCGAAGGCGGCUUUUUGGUCUGUAACUGACGCUGAGGGGCUAAAGCGUGGUGAGCAAACAGGAUUAUAUACCCUGGUAGUCCACGCCGUAAACGAUGAGUGCUAAGUGUUAGAGGGUUUCCGCCCUUUAGUGCUGCAGCUAACGCAUUAAGCACUCCGCCUGGGGAGUACGGUCGCAAGACUGAAACUCAAAGGAAUUGACGGGGGCCCGCACAAGCGGUGGAGCAUGUGGUUUAAUUCGAAGCAACGCGAAGAACCUUACCAGGUCUUGACAUCCUCUGACAACUCUAGAGAUAGAGCGUUCCCCUUCGGGGGACAGAGUGACAGGUGGUGCAUGGUUGUCGUCAGCUCGUGUCGUGAGAUGUUGGGUUAAGUCCCGCAACGAGCGCAACCCUUGAUCUUAGUUGCCAGCAUUUAGUUGGGCACUCUAAGGUGACUGCCGGUGACAAACCGGAGGAAGGUGGGGAUGACGUCAAAUCAUCAUGCCCCUUAUGACCUGGGCUACACACGUGCUACAAUGGAUGGUACAAAGGGCUGCAAGACCGCGAGGUCAAGCCAAUCCCAUAAAACCAUUCUCAGUUCGGAUUGUAGGCUGCAACUCGCCUACAUGAAGCUGGAAUCGCUAGUAAUCG
RNAcentral lists this ribosomal RNA (1269 nucleotides) under Priestia flexa. Its description in RNAcentral is "bacterial SSU rRNA". It matches the Rfam family "Bacterial small subunit ribosomal RNA", at positions 90 to 1344 of the family's 1533-position model. The record is from RNAcentral. Lineage: Bacteria; Bacillati; Bacillota; Bacilli; Caryophanales; Bacillaceae.